UCUCUCGUAGCUUAGUGGUCAGAUCAUUGGUGCGUAAAGCUAAAGGUCCCGAGUUCGACUCUCGGCGAGGGUG
Molecule: transfer RNA, 73 nt
Filed under: Agrilus planipennis (emerald ash borer)
Lineage: Eukaryota; Metazoa; Arthropoda; Insecta; Coleoptera; Buprestidae
Rfam family: tRNA
About the family: Transfer RNA (tRNA) molecules are approximately 80 nucleotides in length. Their secondary structure includes four short double-helical elements and three loops (D, anti-codon, and T loops).
Source: Rfam by way of RNAcentral